Non-coding RNA from Schistosoma haematobium, 45 nucleotides. The record is from Rfam. Lineage: Eukaryota; Metazoa; Platyhelminthes; Trematoda; Strigeidida; Schistosomatidae.
AUCCAGUUGACGAGUUCCAAAUAGGAGAUAACGCACGUCCUAGAU